Molecule: small RNA, 561 nt
Filed under: Histoplasma ohiense
Lineage: Eukaryota; Fungi; Ascomycota; Eurotiomycetes; Onygenales; Ajellomycetaceae
Description: hypothetical lncRNA
Source: RNAcentral
CCAGAGCGAACGCAUGUGGCGAGUUGCAGAAAUAAACCAGAACGAGGAUGAUAAGUUGCUAGCACAUUAUUGUUGAACCAACGAAACCAACAAGUUUGUUGUAUUCUAAGCAAAACAGCCGUCGGCGAUGCUAAAUUAGGUGUAACGCGCCAACGACUUUCUCUCCCUGGCGCUUCGAGCAUGAAAAUUGGCCCCUGGCUGAUCACGUUCUAGCCCCAUGAUUUAGCAAAAGCUCGUAAGGAUAAGAGCCUGUGAACUAGGCAGAAAUUGAUACAUUUCAGCAGGAAAAAAAAUGCAUAUGCACCUAGGAAGUAAGUUUAUGACUCCAUCGCUCCCAUACGCUUCGAAUAUACCAAGUAUACCAAGUUUUGAUGCUUGUAUGUGAAAAUAUCAAUGAUAAAGCACAGAGCCGGGUUGAAAUACGGUGAGAUUUUGGGCAGACAUUCGGCAUCGAGACUCGAGAGAAAGCAUUGAGCCUGAACUGUCCAAGCACCCUCACAUUGAGGAGUUGUGACACUGUUUAAUCUUAUCACUCAGAUGUAACUGGUCACCGUCGACAAG